Symphalangus syndactylus (siamang) is the source of this 8605-nucleotide long non-coding RNA. RefSeq lists it as uncharacterized. Lineage: Eukaryota; Metazoa; Chordata; Mammalia; Primates; Hylobatidae. The record is from RefSeq and is a predicted model, not a curated record.
UCCCUCCCUCCCUCCCUCCCUCCCUCCCUCCCUCCCUUCCUUCCUUCCUUCCUUCCUUGACGUAGUCUCGCUCCGUUACCAGGCUGGAGUGCAGUGGCGCAAUCUUGGCUCACUGCAACCUCCACCUCCCAGGUUUAGGCAAUUCUGCCUCAGCCUCCCAAGUAGGUGGGAUUACAGGCGCAUGCCACCAUGCCCAGCUAAUUUUUGUAUUUUUAGUAGACACGGGGUUUUACCGUGUUGGCAGGAUAGUCUCAAUCUCUUGACCUCCUGAUCCACCUGCCUCGGCCUCCCAAAGUGCUGGGAUUACAGGCGUGAGCCACUGUGCCUGGCCGGGCAGGGACACUUUCUAGUGUCCUUCUACAACAUGGAAAGGAAGCAUGAUUUCUGUAGACAGUUAACCACUUCCAGGACAUUGCCCCUUACCCUUCAUUGAUGCAUUCCUACUGCUUUGGUGAAAGAAGCAUCUUUAGACCUUCUUAUGGGACAUAGAGAGGGGUGGAGAGGGAUUCAUUAGCAUAAUGAAUCUGCCCCAGCUUCUCAUCUCCCUAAGAAUUUGUAUUCCUUUCUCUUCAGUGUAACUAGAAAUUUCUGACAUGACUGCAUCAUUUAAUGUAGACCACUUUUAAAUGCAAGGUUUAAUUAACCAACCAAGCAAACUAUUAGAGCCACUCCCAGCUGUUCAUUAGUUUAUUGAAUUCAGAAUAUGCCAUAAACUAACUAUAUGGAUUAAUCCAGUCCACUCCAAUGCUAUGUUUUUCCCCUUUGUUUUAGUACUUUUAGACUUUGUUUCAACUAUAUUUUUCAGGUGCAUUUUGAUGUCGUAGCAAAAUUUUAGCAUUCUUUUUUUGUUUAAUGUCCUCCAGAUCCAAUUUUUGUACUUUUUUUCCUGUGGGAUACUAUGAAAUUGAGUUGUAUUUAUAAUCCUGGAGGCCAUGAGAGUUGGUGGGUUGAGUUUUGAAGAUAAUUAGCAUCCUUCUAUAAAGUAACUGCUUCAUAUGAGAUCAUUGCAGGACUCUCAAGCAGGAAAUGGCCAGAAUUUUCAGAAGAGAAGAAAGGUUUUUUUGCUGGUAAGUGACACUCAGUGGUAUUUGUGUGUUCAAGGUACCUGAAUACUGUAUUAAUCAUGCCUUUUUGUGUUUUUGAAGUUUUUGUAUUUUCAGUGUUUUGUAUUUUUGAUGUUUGAUAUCUGGGACCUUGUUGAUCCUAGAGUGUCUGCCCAUCCCAGGGCUGGAUAAUUCCUAGACAGAGUAAAAGACUCACCUGCAAGUGCAGUUUUCAUAUGCAACCCAACCAAUGCAAAGCGACUACCCACCAAAUACCUCCUUUAUUGUGCUCUCUCUCCCCUAAUCACCAGAGCCAGGUGCCAGGCAACUGGCAGCAAUCUCUAUCCUCCAGAGCCUCCUGAAUUAUCCACACUAGCCAAUCCUCAGCCUGCAGAGCCUGCCUCACGCGUUCCUUCCUGCAAAGCCCACAUUAAAGACUCUGCCUACAUGCUCUUCCCUGCUCCUCCUGCUUCUGGUGCUUCCCCAUGUGGUUCUCCAUGCUCCUCCCCCCAGAAACUGUGAGUAACAAACUCUGUUUUCAAUGGCAGUUGUCUUCCGAUCUGUUGGCUUUACCACACAUAAAUAAUAAUAACGCUUCCAUUUUAUAACAGAUAGAUGAAAAUCUAUCCACAUCUCCCUAUUUUGAGUCUCAGAUGUCUAAUCUUUCCCCCAACCCUACCUUUCACAUGAGAGACAUAGAAAGGCUGUGAAUUCUAUUUAUAUUGUAUUCAUGCAAUCAAUAGGAUUAAAUUUGGAGCCCAAGUAUUUGCUACACUGGUUCUACAGCUACAAGAAAGAGGAGACUUGGCCGGACGCGGGGUCUCACGCCUGUAAUCCCAACACUUUUGGAGGCCGAGGCGGGUGGAUCAGGAGGUCAGGAGAUCGAGACCAGCCUGGCUAACAUGGUGAAACCCCAUCUCUACUAAAAAUACAAAAAAUUAGCUGGGUGCAGUGGCAGGCGCCUGUAGUCCCAGCUACUCGGGAGGCUGAGGCAGGAGAAAGGCGUGAACCCGGGAGGCAGAGCUUGCAGUGAGCUGAGAUAGCGCCACUGCACUCUGGCCUGGGCGAAAGAGCAAGAGUCCGUCUCAAAAAAAAAAAAAAAAAAAAGAGAGAGAAGAGACUUCAGCCAAAAAUAAAAGUAAAACCUGAGCUGCUAUUUUCUUAAGCUCUAUUCUAAACAUUUAGCUUGCCCCCACAGUUCUUGUGUUAACAGCAGCAAAUCCGUAUGGGUUUGCAGCAACCUCACUUCUUGCCUCCUCAGAAGAAAGAAUUUGACUGAGGGGCAUAAGGCAGAGGGAGAAACUAAGGCAAAUUUUUGGGCAGUAGUGAAGGUUUAUCAAAAAGUUUUAGAGCAGGAAAGAAAGGAAGUAAAGAGAAGUAGUGAAAGUUUAUCAAAAAGUUUUAGAGCGGGAAAGAAAGGAAGUAAAGUACACUUGGAAGAAUGCCAAGCAGGCAACUUGAGAGAUUCAAGUGCACUGUUUGACCUUUGACUUGGGGUUUUCUACGUUGGCAGGCUUGAGGGGUCUGCAUCUCUUUUUCCCUGAUUCUUCCCUUGGGGUGGGUCUCCACAUGGUCAGUGGCCUGCCAGCACUUGGGAGGUGAGCAUGCGCAGUGUGUUGACUAAAGUUGUGUGCAUGUUCACUUGAGGCAUUUUUUCCUUAUUAGUCGAACAUUUCUGGAGGAAGGUCAUAUACCAGUUAAACUCUGCCAUUUUGCCUCUUAGUGCACAUGCUUGAGCCCACUAACCCAGCUCCCGAGUUCUUACUGGGAAGCUGCUCAUCACCAACUUUAGGUGUGUUCUGUCUACUGUGAGACCGCCCUUCCCUGGUGCCAGUUGUGACCAAUUACUGUUUUAAAGAGACAGCUUAACAACUGCUGACCGUUACCUGACGGUCACCUGCUGCUCCUCGUUGGGGGAUGGGGCCCUCUCCUGCUCUGCUCAUGUCUGCUUCGCUACCUAACUGACAUUCACCUGCAGUUCCUCAUUGAGGGGUGGGGCCCUCUCCUGCUCUGCUCAUGUCUGCUUCGCUACCUACCUGACAGUCAGCUGCCGUUCCUCGUUGCGGGGUGGGUCCCUCUCCUCCUCUGCUGUGUCUGCCUCACUAUCUAUUCUAGCACUUGUGUUCCUCGUUCCCAUCAUAAUGGCCAAUAGCAGCAACCACUUGGGCUACCAAAAGCUUGCCUUAAAUAGCUAUUUUUACUGGCUAUCUGUAUGCCACUUUCAAGUGGAAACAAAGACAUCCAGGUCAGAUAUCAAAUAAAAACCAAACCAGAUACCCAGUUCUAGAAUACCCAGGUCAGCAAAAAAAAAACACAUUACUGCAGAAAUAGACUUAUACUUCUACUAAUUUAGACCAACUGAUUUAGACCAAGAUGCCAAGGCAAUGCAAUGGAAAAAGUAAGGCCUUUUCAAAUCGAUUGGCUGUGUAUAUGAAAUAAAUGAGUCCUGACCCAUAUCACACCAUACACAGAAGUAAUUUCAAGAUAGAUGAUGGACCUAAAUGUUAGAGCUAAAAUGAUAAAGCUUGUAAAAGAAAAUAAUACAAUAUCUUCUCAAUAUUGGAAUAGGUGAAAAUUUCUUAGGAUUCAGCAUGUACUAAGCAUGAAAUAAAUAAUUGAUCAAAUGGGUUUAAUAAAAAUUAAAACCAUUUUUAAGAACUCUUCACACAGUAUACUUAAGAUCAGAGUAUUUCUCUUUGUGCAAAUUUCAAUUUUUUAAAAAACCUACUUUAUCAUUUCUUUCUUAUAGAAUUAGCAAAAAUCUGAAAGUUUGACAACUGCUUUGUGAUGGAGGCGGAGAAGCACCGCCACUAAACACACACAUGCACACACAUGUACACAUACGCACACACAAGUACACAAACAGUACAAACACAGUACACAUACGCACACAAGUACCCACACACGUACAUGCACACAGUACAUGUGCACACACGUACAUGCACAUAGUACAUCUGCACACAUACACACGUACAUGCACACACGUACACAUACAUGUACACACCCUCUCACAGGAGCUUGGGGGAGUGGUCUGGUCAUUUCAGCUUCUCUAUCUGCCUACUGGCCUGAGCUGAAGGCACAAGACUGCAGCCUCUCCUAGCCUCAGCCUUCUGAACUUUAAGCCCAGGGAAUCAUCACUGCUCUUAGUUCAUAGACAAGAGGAAAUCCUUUUUAAACCCAGCUUUCUUGGGGACACUACCCCAUCUGCGUGUAGCCACCAUUCUUUGCUUCCCAGCUGCCAAAAUUCUUGUGGCCACUGCAGCUUUAGACCAAAACGGACUGCAGGUGUAUACUGAUUCUUCCUGCUAAGGCGUUUAGGUGCUUCCUCACCUAAAUGCUUUCCAGACUCAGAUGGUGGACAAGCUAUCCUGUUCUGAGAAAGCUAAUGAAGGCCAGGCUAAAGGAACUGUCUUUACCUCAUAUUUUCUUUCUUCUCAAAUGCAUAUGCACAAAGGUUGAUGCUUUUCCUUUGUUGUUGUUGUUGUUCACAGCUCAUGGAAUUCCACUUAAGGCAAACUCAUAUAAAAUGCUCUCUUUUUUAAAAAAUAUUCUGCAGCUUUUUCAUUCUCUCUCUUCAAAAAUAUGCCAAGUUGCCUCAGUAAAGAAUGCUGUUUUGUAUGUCAUGCCUGAUUGAAAAAAUUCUGCUCAACAAUGAUUGCAUGAAGAAUGGACAGUCCACCCUCUCGCCCAGAUGGCCCGAAAGGUGCCCUUGGUGUCCAUCAGACUGUCAGACUGCUGUUUACUGGGGCAGCUCCCAGGGUCUCUGCUCUUCUUUUGAGUCUGCACCACCGACAUCCAUUUAAGCUUCAAUUGGAGCUCCUGAUGCUUGCGAGCAAAGGAUAAAAUCUGCUGUGGAAGGAUGCCUGUUUGCAAGGAGGAAAGAACAAGCUUCCUGCUUCCCAGGUCCCUGGCAUGCUCCCCCUGGUGGAAAGGCACUCCCUCCAAACUCUUGGAGAGGACUCAGGCUGAAAGUGGCAAGCUACUUCCGAGUUCCAGGUGACCCAUAGGCUGUGAGUUUGCUGUUAUGAAGAAAUUGCUAUGCUCAUCAGCUUGCUUUGAACGAAGCCGUUCUUUACCAAAUGCCCUGAAGUCAUUGGAAAGUCACACGACCUUGCUUUAAAGUGAAGAAUUAUAAUUGUUUCUCUGAAGAUGAGGGAGCUGCGCGAAGUUUGUCAGAUGCAACAGAGCCGUGUGUAUGCUAUUGAGAACUGGACAGGAGUGAAAGAGAUUGAUGAAGACAACAGUGUAUAUAGCAUCUCCUAUUACCUAUUAGCUCAGUGCUUCAUGUGCAUUACCUCACUGAAUUCUCGCAACAGCCCAAAAAGGUCAUCCAGAGCUCUUUGGAGCACUUUCUACUUGCUGGGCUUGGAGGACAAUGCAAAGAUGAACAAUAGAUGUUCUCUGUCUCUUUGAAGCUUAUAAUCAUCUGGAGAGACACAUUGGCAGAGAGACUACCUUAAUACAAUGGGGUGUCAGAAGUAGCCGAGCUGAAGCCAUGCUCUGGAAGAACCUGUGCAGGGAGAGAAAGACCUGUUUGAGACCGACCUGAAAGCUCUCCCGGGGAAAGAGCAGCACAUUGGUGGUAUUAUUCCAACAUCUUUUAGCUUCCCUUGCUGUCGUUGAGAAGUCUGUUGAUUUGAUACUCCUCUGUAAGUAAUCCAUUUUUUCCUUGCAUAUGCUGAUUUUGAGAUCUUCUCUGCCUUUAUUGUUCUGCCAUUUCACUAAAAUGUGUUUGUUUGGAGAUAUAUAAAUUCUGCUUGGACUGUAUUGUGCUUCCAGAAUUGGAAGAUCAAUGUCUUUCAUUAACUAUGGAACAUUCUUGGUCACGGACUCAUUGAAUGUUUCCUUUUCUCCAUUAUUUCUAUUCUUUUCUGAAACUUCGGUAGUCAUAUGUUAGUCCUUUUAACUCCAUCUGCCUCGUUUCAUAACUUCUCUCUCAUGUUUUCCCUUAUUGCUUUUUAGCAUCCUGAGUAAUGUUCAGAUCCAUCUACUGGUUUACUGAUUAUAUUUUUAUUUCCAUAAAUUCCACUGGAUUCUUUUUCAAUUCUGCCUGGCCAUUUUUUGAUGGUAUUUUGUUUUCAGUCUCAUUUUAAGUUUCUUCCUUUUAAAAAAUAUUUUAUACAUAAUUAUUUACAUUUACUAUCUAAUAAUUUAAAUAUAUGAACUCUGGGUGUGUAAUCUUCUUUCCUGUUCUUUUUCAUGAUGGUUUGUUUUCUGUUUAUGAAUUUAGCAAUUGUAUGUUUUGUACUCACGUUUGGCUGAACUUAAUUCGUGGGAAUCUGUAGGAGACUGUAAAAAUAUCAGUGGUUGCCACAGUAUAGAUGAACAAGUGAAACACUGAGGAUUUUUUGGCAGGGAAGCCACUCUGUGUGAUUACUACAAUGGUGGCCACAUGUCAUUAUACACUCAUCAAAACCCAUAGCAUGUGCAAUGCAAACAGUGAAUCCUAAUGUAAACUCUAGAUUCUAGUUAAUCAUAAUGCAUCAAUAUUGGCUCAUUAAUUGUAAUGUGCCACACUAAUGCAAGAUAUUAAAAUAGGAGAAAUUGGGAGGAGAUUGGGCGUACGGGAAUCCAUUGUAUAAUACUUUCUGCUCAAUUUUUUUAUAAACCUAUAACUGUCAAAAGCGUAUUCAUUUUUUUAAAUGUAGAGAUAAAAAACUAAAAAAAAUUAACCUUUGUGAUUUUGACUUAAACAGGGAACCCUGUCUCAGGGUCAUGAGAGAAAAGAACCAAGUGUCUCCUUCCGUGAACUGAAGGGCAUCAAGAAGAGUGGCGUUUUAGUGGCAUAGGGGAAUUCACUUUCUUUUGCCAUCUAAUGUUGGCCCCCAUGGGAAAUCAUCACUUUUUUGCCUUAUGCAUAGCAAAACCUUGAAGAUUUUUGCACCAAGGAUUUCCACCAUCUGGAUAUUUUCCAUGGAUGAACCAGGAAAAUACUUUCCAGGCCCUGACAUACAUUCUCUACACUAUGGCCCUUAUGAAAAGAUAUUGACCAUAUUUCCACCACCAUCCUUUUUGAUGAUUUGGACCCUUUAUUAAUAUAUUUAGAUAUUUUCAAUACGCCUCAGUUGUUUUAAAAUAAAAUUGGGUCUGUAGUUUGAAUCUGAAUAUAUAAUCUUUUGUUUGAAUUGUAAAAUAACUUUGCAGUGACAUUUGAGGAAAGAUGGCUUAUAAAUACAUCAUGCACACAAUAUACAUAUACACCCAUCCUAGGUGCAUACUGAAAUUAACCAAAAUAUAUUUUAAUUUUUUUUUUUUUUUUUGAGACCGAGUUUAGCUCUUGUUGCCCAGGCUGGAGUGCAAUGGUACGAUCUCGGCUCACUGCAACCUCCACCUCUCAGGUCCAAGCAAUUCUCCUGCCUCAGCCUCCCAAGUAGCUGGGAUUACAGGUGCCCACCAAUGUGCCCGGCUGACUUUUUAUAUUUUUAGUAGAGACACGGUUUCACCAUGUUGGUCACGCUGGUCUCGAUCUCCUGACCUCAGGUGAUCCACCUGCCUCGGCCUCCCAAAGUGCUGGGAUUACAGGCGUGAGCCACCACACCCGGCCAAAAUGCAUUUUUAUAAAAGAAAAAAAAAGUAUCUGUGUUGAAAUUAGAAGAACCAAACUCUUGCUGCAAACUUUGUAUAUUUUCAUUAUAAUUUUACCAGGAUGAAAGGAGACCCAGAAAAUACACACAGACAUGUAGCAUUGUUAUUCUAGAGUUCCUUGAAAUGCAGAGGACUGGGAAUGUCAUGAAAAAAAGUCCACAGAGUCCCACCACCGCCUACAGCUCAGAGAACAAAAGCCUGUGGCCCAGGCAGACGAUGGGAAGGACAGGGAGGUCUCCUUGGAAGCCACUUGACCUCUGUUGGGACAGGCUGGAGAGAACAGCCUGCCUGUAUGAUGCCUCCCCUCCCGCCCUUGACACGGCUUCUACAAGGUUGGGGGCAUGAUGAGGAGGCAACUAAGUUUCCCAGCUGGUACUAGAGCCAUCUUUGCAGAGAAAAAUGUGUAUCUGGCUCAGGAAAUUAAAAAGGCUUUGAGUUCCAAGAAAAUCACCACAAAGAGGGAAGAACCUCCUGAAAUCCAAGGAUACCCCUACACAUGAAAAGAUUCCACCCAAGCUGAUAGAACUUCACUCCUUUCCUGGCCCCCUUUUGAGGGAAAGUAUUCCAAUAAUGUAUUCCUCCAUUGUGACUGAUCCUGACCCCAACUCCCUCGCCACUGUCCCCAGGCAGGCUGAACAGAGACGAUACAUUGCCAGCAUACAGCCCUCCAGGUACAGAGAGAAGAUCAUGAGUAGGCUCACGUCAAAAGGGAAAGACAGCAGUGGGUUUCUAUCUAGAUCAUGUGGACCAAAAGGCAGAUCUCCUAGAACUGGCCCAGAGUUAAAAACAAACAAGCUGAAAAAUAGGAAAAUCUGGCAAAACUACUACAAAAAAAGAAACAAAAUGUACAACAUACACAUGAAUAAUACAUUUGUUUGGCUAGUAUCGAGAAAAAUAGAGCUGUUUUAUGCAAGGAUGUUGAAGAAAAGAUGAAACACUAUGAAACAGGAGCUCAUAAGAGGAAAGAAUAAAAUAAA